This is a long non-coding RNA of Esox lucius (northern pike), 1141 nucleotides long. NCBI's taxonomy places the organism in Eukaryota, Metazoa, Chordata, Actinopteri, Esociformes, Esocidae. The record is from Ensembl.
CUCAAGGUCCAUUCUAAGUAGGUCAAUCCAGCAUCACUUUGAUUGGCUUUUUUACUUUGUUCCUCUACUGAGUAAAUAAUGUAAUUAAAGUUCUGUACUUAUGAGUAGAAAGAGCUUUACAAUUGUUCAGAAUGUGUUUAUUCAGGAUUACUCUGUUCCUGUGGCUGUGGCGUCUAAGUAGAACAUCUGAAGAGAACCAACUGAAAACAUUGACAACUGGAGAAGCACAUGUCAUUCAAUUCUGCCCCAAUCAUACAUUGAAUGACAUCAUGUCCGUUAUAUGUAAAAUAAGUGGGGGGCAGAAGUGUCAGGUAUCAUUACGGUUUGACCAAAAUUAUCCAGAUAGCAACUGUGACUCCAGGGUCACACUACAGACAGAGAAAGGUGAAGUGUUUCUACACAUCAGCAACAUACAACCAUCUGAUGAAGGGAACUACACCUGUGAAUGUUCAUAUAAUGGAGGAAGAGAUGUUUUAUAUCUUAAUAUUUCUGUCAAUGCAUCACAGGUGGUUGAGGAAACAGGCACUUCCGGAACUCUCUUUUCUAUAAUGAUAAUUGGCUUCACUGCAAUUGUAGUUGUAAUUUUCCUCACUGGCAUCAUCAUGAAGACAGUUAAAUUCAGCAGGAGAACACAGCAAGACGUGAGUGACACCUUCAAAACGAAGAUGGACACUAUAUUCUUUGAGGAGGGUCAACUUUACACCGUUGGAGUUUACGCAGCUCUACCAUUGCCACAUCCUCACCACUGACACUGACAGCAUGGACCAAUGCCCUGGACUAACCUGCCCUGGACAUACAUCUCCAGCCAUACAUUACAUUAAGAUAAUCAAAGCAAUUCAUGGCUACUCAUGCUCUUAAAACAUUUGGUCCUCGACAGCACCCUCUCUUGGAUCAGCAUCAGUCCAACACCCAGGGAGAACCAUCUGGCCUGGGGCUGUAAAAGGGGGUCCUUAAACACAGCCUGGAUUUCACCCCUUGACGAGGAACACAUGUUCUCAAUCAGCCCUCUUCUGGGGAGGAUAAAUGGCCCCAAAAGAACUCUGGGAAGCGGUGGAAGAAGCUGAAAGAAAAUAUUGCAUGUUUUAUGUUAAUCUAUCGUUUCCUCUGCCAGUUUAUGUUAAUAAAUGUCCUACUGGGCCCA